Peromyscus maniculatus bairdii (prairie deer mouse) is the source of this 618-nucleotide non-coding RNA. The record is from RefSeq and is a predicted model, not a curated record. NCBI's taxonomy places the organism in Eukaryota, Metazoa, Chordata, Mammalia, Rodentia, Cricetidae.
CCUUCUGCGACUCCCCCGAACACUUCAAUCCUUGACUAAAGCCGAGAAGAAUCUGUGUGAGACUGGAUGUGGGUACAGGUUCAGAUUCCACCCUGCAACUUAUCUUAGCUGGGUACCACUACAAAAGUUUCCUCCCCUAUAAAACAGGCAUGCUUGACGCUUCUGAGGCGCUGAAGACAAAAACCAGGGUUCCGUGGAUGUUCCUCAAGCACUCGCCCACCGCGCUACAGACCCAGCCUGGAUGUGGCCCAGAAGACCUCGUUUGGCAUUCAGAAUCAGCUGGCUGGAACUCCCCAGACACCCGGGCCAAGCUCACUGCAUCUCCAUCCUGACCGGUCUAGCCCACCUCUCUGCUGUCUGCGACAGCCGCAAGAUGCUCUACUCACAUGCCUUCCAGGGAGGUAGGGUGGGUAAGGGACUUACCACCAACUAGUCUGUCCUCUGAGAGAGCGGAACAGCACAGAGCAUGGGGAGAGGAUCUAAAAGGGAUGGAAACAGCACCCAGUACCAGCUCUUGAGUGCCUGGGAUGGGUAACCUAGCAGGUAAGAGGAGCUAUCCUGAGGUGACUUCCUUUCUUUCUAGAAUGUUCUCCAGGAAUAUGGUUGCCCAGGAUUACU